UGGGGAAUCUUGCGCAAUGGGCGAAAGCCUGACGCAGCGACGCCGCGUGUGGGAUGAAGGUCUUCGGAUUGUAAACCACUGUCGGGAGGGACGAAGCUCUGACGGUACCUCCAAAGGAAGCACCGGCUAACUCUGUGCCAGCAGCCGCGGUAAUACAGAAGGUGCAAGCGUUACUCGGAAUUACUGGGCGUAAAGCGUCUGUAGGUGUCUUUCCACGUCUGGCAUUAAAUCAUGGAGCUCAACUCCAUAACUAUGUUGGAAACGAGAAAGAUUGAGUCACUCAGAGGCAUCUGGAAUGUCGUGUGUAGGGGUAAAAUCCGUAGAUACACGAUGGAACGCCAAAAGCGAAGGCAGGAUGCUAGGGGUGUACUGACACUCAGAGACGAAAGCGUGGGGAGCAAAGGGGAUUAGAUACCCCGUAGUCCCUGAGCGGGCUGGCAAGGCGCAU
RNAcentral lists this ribosomal RNA (448 nucleotides) under uncultured bacterium. RNAcentral's name for it is "bacterial SSU rRNA". It matches the Rfam family "Bacterial small subunit ribosomal RNA", at positions 355 to 825 of the family's 1533-position model. The record is from RNAcentral.